Molecule: unclassified non-coding RNA, 267 nt
Filed under: fungal sp.
Lineage: Eukaryota; Fungi
Also listed under: 1 other name
Description: partial internal transcribed spacer region
Rfam family: Eukaryotic small subunit ribosomal RNA (bases 1-46)
Source: RNAcentral
AAGUCGUAACAAGGUUUCCGUAGGUGAACCUGCGGAAGGAUCAUUAAAUUCAGUAGCUUGCUACUGUUAGGGGGGUCUAUUAGUCUGUAUAGUAUCACUACUGAUGAGCAGCACGACCCUCUGUCUAUACCCUUGUCUUUUGCGCACUCAUGUUUCCUCGGCGGCUUUAUACCCGCCGGCUGGAUCAAUCUAUAACCUUUUUAAUUUUCAAUCAGCGUCUGAAAAACCUAAUAAUUACAACUUUCAACAACGGAUCUCUUGGUUCUG